AGAAUGCCCCUUUUUGGAGGGCAGGUCUGGUGCCAGCAGCCGCAGAAAAUUCCAGCUCCAAUAGCGUAUAUUAAUGUUGUUGAGGUUAAAAAGCUGGUUGUUGUCCCUUGGGAUUAGCCGGCUGUUCCGCCUCACCGCGUGCACUGUCUCGGCUAGGUCUUUCCUCCGGGGGAACCGCAUGCCCUUCACAGGGUGUGCCGGGGAACCAGUACUUUUACUCUGACCAAAUUAGUUCGCUUAAAGAAGGCCUAUGCUCGAAUACAUUAGCAUGGAAUAAUAGAAUAGGACGUGUGGUUCUAUUUUGUUGGUUUCUAGGACCGCCGUAAUGAUUAAUAGGGACAGUCGGGGGCAUCAGUAUUCAAUUGUCAGAGGUGAAAUUCUUGGAUUUAUUGAAGACUAACUCCUGCGAAAGCAUUUGCCAAGGAUGUUUUCAUUAAUCAGGAACGAAAGUUAGGGGAUCGACGACGAUCAGAUACCGUCUUAGUCUUAACCAUAACUUUAACAUACGCUAUUGGAGCUGGCGUUAUUUUGGCAGCCGGCACCCGACUUACCCUAAAC
This 558-nucleotide ribosomal RNA is filed under the name uncultured Chaetomium. RNAcentral's name for it is "bacterial SSU rRNA". It matches the Rfam family "Eukaryotic small subunit ribosomal RNA", at positions 534 to 1098 of the family's 1831-position model. Lineage: Eukaryota; Fungi; Ascomycota; Sordariomycetes; Sordariales; Chaetomiaceae. The record is from RNAcentral.